CUUCACCAUUAUAAGUUUUGUGACUGCUCAAUAUUCCAAGGACUGAAGCCAUCAUUAUCUAAUCAAUUGUGUUCCCAUUGCUGAAAUUUUUAUGAUCAUAAAUAAAGCUAUGAUGAAUACAAGAAAAAUUGUUUUAAUGGUAUUAUCCACAAGGGAGUGAAUCCAGAAAGAAAAAUUAUGAAAUUUAAGAUAUGCUUUAAGGUGAGUUUCACAUUGAUUAAAAUCAUUAACUCAUCUUAACAAAACAAAUAUUUGUCCCACAACAAUUUAACAACACCCACAAAACUGAAUAAUUCGAGCUCUUGUAUGUCUGUAAGUCAUUCCUAGAAUUGAAUUAUUCAUCAGAUAAGAUUUAAAAUGAAGCAACAUAAACACUCUGUUGUCCAGGACUUUAAAAAGAAUGGUAAACUGCUCUUCUACUGCUCAUAUUCAUCCUAUGGACACAAAAUACAAUGGUGAAUUUUUAAAUAAGACAUUUUCUUUAUUUAUGGCUACUGUCAAGCAUAUAUAAGAAAAUAAGAGCUGGCAAAAAUUAGAUCAGAUGUGGCCCAGUCAACUCAGCAUUUUAUCUAAUGAAGAUGAUCCUAAAGAUCGAUUCCUAAGAAAACAUGCUAGUUGUCCUUGAUAGAAUAGAUCUUAAAAUGUUCAAGACGUAGGGGCCGGCCCCAUGGUUAAGUUCCCACGCUCUGCUUCAGCAGCCCAGGGUUCAGAUCCUGGGCGCAGACACGGCGCCGCUCAUUAGGCCAUGUUGAGGCAGCGUCCCACAUCCCACAACUAGAAGGACCCACAACUAAAAUAUACAACUAUGUACUGGGGGGAUUUGGGGAGAAAAAAAAGCAGGAAAAAAAAAAGAAUAUUGGCAAUAGUCAGGUGCCAAUCUUUAAAAAAAAAAAAAAGUUCAAGAGGUAGCACAAAAUACCACCACCCCUCCUUUUUUUUUAAUAAAAGCUGUUUAUCUUAUUGCUCAUUCCUUAAUCUGAAGAAAAGAACUGCUUAUGGACAGUGGAUGAAACAAAAGUGUUUACCUUGUACAAACCCUUCUAAAAUGACAAUAAAGGCACAUGCCUUCAGUAAUGAAUAGAAUGAGAGAGAAGAUAACAGCAAUAAAAUUUGGAAAGUUGGAUAACAAGUAUCUAUUUUAGCAGACUUGACAUCUUAUCACACAGAUUUCAGGCCUCAUUAUACCUUUUCCUUUUUUUAGUUAAAAAAAAAUUACAUGGGGGCCGACCUGGUGGAGUAGUGGUUAAGUUUGUGUGCUCCGCUUCAGAGGCCCAGCGUUUACUGGCUGGAUCCCAGGCACAAACCCACACACCAGUCCUCAAGUCAAGGAAGAUUGGCACAGAUGUUAACUCAGGGCCAAUCUUCCUCACACACACACACAUAAAAUUACAUGUAUAUCUGCUAAUUGUGAAAAACUCAAUACUCUGGGUAUAAUCUGGACAGUAUAGAGUUUUGAACAGUGUUCUUUUCUUGCUAUGACUGAAGUUUGCAUCUGCUUCUCUUUUGUAACCCAGAUCACACUGACUCUUAGUUAAGCUUGUGGUCCUUUACCUAAGAAUUGCUCCUACAUCAGAUGUUCCCCAUCCUGCACCAACUAAACUAAGCAUAGGAUUCUAUACAUCUGCCCACUUUAAAUGUUACCUGUUGGGGAUGGUGCUUUAGGUAUCUUGGAUACUAAUCCUUUCAAAUAUAAACACACACACACCUAAACACACCCACAUGUGUCUUCUGGACUGCGGCUGUCUUUCCUCUGUUUAUGGUGCUUUUGUAUAAAGAGGCUUUUAAUUUUAAUGUAGUAAAAUUAAUUGAUCUUUUUCUUUAAAGUUUGUGCUCUUUGUGGUUGGUUUAUGAACAGCUUCCUCAUCUUGAAUUCAAAUUUUUAAGGUUUAUUUCUUUUUUUUUCUCAUUCAGGUCUUAAUUCUUUUUGCCUUAAAAUGCAUCAGAUAGCUUUCUUUCAGUUAGUAUUUGCCUGCUGUAUCUUUUCCUAUACUUUUACUUUGAAAUAUUAUUUAUUUUUUUAAAUAAAAAUUUUAUAUAUUACAUGUAUCUGUUGCAAACAGUAUAUACUGUUUUUUAAUAUAAUAAGUAAAUAUGUUUUUAAACUAGUGAGUUUAAUCCAUUUAUCCUGAUUAUCAUGACUACUGAUAUAUUUGGGUUUUCCAUCACCUUAUUUUUUUGUUUUUUAGACUUCUUUGCCAUGCCUCUUCCCCCUCACUUCCUGCCCUCUUUCGGAUUACUGGGUUUUCUUUAUUCCCUCUUUCUCCUUAUUUAGUUUCAAACUUUUAAAAUUUGUUAUUUCCACUUUUAAAAAUUGUUACCCUUAAUAAUUUAUUAUGCAUACUUAACUUACCAAGUCCAAAAUUAUGGUGCUUUAUGGUUUUUGAAUUUUACGUUUUGCCUAGGGAGGCUAUUAUCAAGAGUAAAAAUAGUUUUAUUUUCUUGUAGUACUUUUAUAAUUUUUUUUGUGAGGAAGAUUAGCCCUGAGCUAACAUCCAUGCCCAUCUUCCUCCACUUUAUAUGUGGGACGCCUACCACAGCAUGGCUUGCCAAGCGGUGCCAUGUUCACAGCCGGGAUCCAAACCAGCGAACCCUGGGCCGCUGAAGCAGAACGUGCGCACUUAACUGCUGUGCCACCGGGCCGGCCCCAGUACUUUUAUAAUUUUUAUUUGUACAUUUUGAUUGUUAAUUCAUCUACAAUUCUUUCUGUAUAGGGUCUCGAGGAGGAAAUCUACCUUUAUUUUCCAAACAGAUAGCUAAUGGUCUCAACACCUCUUAUGUUGUCCAUCUUUUCCCCGUUGAUUUAAAAUAGAACCUUUAUCAUUGAGUCCAUUUAAAGAUGGGUCUAUAUCUGUACAUCCUACUUUAUACCAAUCUGUCUUUCCCUUGCAUUUACCAAACGAUCUUAAUUACUCUUGAUAGUCUAAUAUCUGACAAAGCAAGUCCUUCCAGCUCCAUUUGCUACACAUUGCUCUUUAAAAGAAAAAAAUUUCUUAAUUGUCUUUUCUUGUCUAUAGUCUCUCUUCAUAUAGUCAAGUCCCUAGCCUCCCAAGAAUUCCCAUUGAAGUUUUGAUUGAGAUUACUUUGAACUUAGAGAUUAAUAAGAGAGACUGACAUCAUUAUAACAUUGAAUUUUCCCAUCCAAGAUUAUAAAUCUCUUCAUUUAUUCAAAAUGUUUUAAACUGUCUUUCAGAAAAUAUUUACAAUUUUUUUCAUUUAAGUCACACAUUUCUUGAUGGGUUUCUACUUUUGUUAUCCUUAUAAAUAAGUUUUUCCAUUACAUUUUUUCAUUAGUUAUUGCUUGCAUACAUGAAGAUGUUGAUUUUGUUUAUCUUAUACUGAGCCAUUUUAUUGUACUCUCUUAUUAAUUCUAAUUAGUGUUUCAUUAGUUGUCUUAGAUUAUCUAAACAGGCAUUCAUAUUGCCUGUAUAUGAUUUUUGUCUCCUCCUUUGCAGUAUUUACCUCUUUAUUUAUUUUCUUCUACAUCGGCUAAGACCUCUAGAAUACUGCUGAAUAGCAGCAAUUAUAGCAGGCAUUCUUGUCUUCCUCAUGAAAAGGCUUCUAAUAAAGUAUGAUGUUCAAUUAAGUGUUUUAAUAGAUCGCCCUCAUCAAAUUAAGGCAAUUUGUUUCUUUCUUUCUUUCUUUCUUUUUUUAAAGCUGCAGUGCAUGGUUGUAUAUCCUAGUUGGUAGUUUAGUUCUCUAUGUGAGCUCCCGCCACAGUAUGACAACUGACAGACAGGUAGUGUGCUUCCACAACCAGAAAAGGAAACUGGGCGGUGGCAGUGGGAGAACUGAAUCUUAACCCACUAGACCACCAGGGCUGGCACUAAGGCAAUUUCUUUCUUUUUCCUAGUUUACAGUAGCUUUCAUCAGGAAUGGGAGUUGAACUUUAUCAAAAGUUUUCUCAGCAUCUUACAAGAUUAUCUUUUUAUUCUUUAGUCUCUCAGUGUAGUGAACAUAUUCCCUACUGUCAAACACUUGCAUUACUGGAAUUAAUACUACUUAGUCAAUUCAAUUCACUCAACAACAAUUUAUGAACCUAACACAGGUCAACCACUUUUCUGGGCACUUGGCAUGUAUUAGGGAACCAACAAUGAUUCCUCAUGGAGCUAUAGUCUAGCAGAUGUCUAUGAUCUAGUUUUCUUUUAACCCAUUGCUGAAUUUAUUUAUUUUUUACCUUUGAGGAAGGUUAGCCCUGAGCUAACAUCUGCUGCCAAUCCUCCUCUUUUUGCUGAGGAAGACUGGCCCUGAGCUAACAUCCAUACCCAUCUUUCUCUACUUUAUAUGUGGGACACCUGCCAUAGCAUGGCUUGACAAGCAGUGCGUAGGUCCACACCCAGGAUCUGAACUGGUAAACCCAGGCCACCAAAGCAGAACAUGUGAACUUAACCACUGCACCACCAGGCUGGCCCCCAUUGUUGAAUUUAAAUUGCUAAUAUUUGAUUUAGUAUUUUUAUGUUUACAGUUAUAAGUGAGAUGGACGUAAGUUUUUCUUCUUUGUGCUAAUCUCUGCUUUCCUUGUCAAGGUUAGGUUAAUCUUGUAGAAAUAUAUUGCAAGUGUUUUGUUAUUUUCCAUGCUAUAGGAAUGUAGAAGUAACAGAUGAAUUUCUCUCUCCCUUAAAGAUUUUGUAUAACUUGCCCAUAAAAUCUAGACCUGGGGUCUUUCCUUUUCCUUUAAAAAAAUGUUUUUAAUUGUAAAAAAUACAUAAAAUUUACCAUCUUAACCAUCUUUAAGUGUAUAGUUCAGCAGAGUUAAGUAUAUGCACGUUGUUGUGCUCUUUUCCUUUUUAAAUACAUUUCUUUUGCUACCUUUUCAAUUGCCUCUACGGUUAUUGGGCUGUUAGAGUCUCUACCUCUUUGAGUGAAUUUUGGUUUGCCUUUCCUAGAAAUUCCUGUUUCACUUAGAUUUUAAAUUUAUUGCUAUAAAGUAGUACACAAUACAUUUUUAUGCUUUGUAAAUCUUCACUAUUUCUGCGAUUAUGUCCCCUUUUCAUUCCCAAUGUUGUUUUUUUGUAUUUUCUCUCCUUCCCCAUCUUUCUCUUUUUAUCAGAUGUACCAAAGAUGUGUCUGUUUUAUUGAUCUUUCAAGAAAUCAGCUUUUGGAUCUACUAAUCAAGUAUACUUUUUAUUGUUUGUUUCAACUUCCUUACCUCUUUUAAUUCCAUCCCUUUGCCUUUUUUAGAGUUGAUGUUCUUCGUCUAACUUAUUGAGUUUAAUAUUUGGUUCAUUGAUUUUCAAUCUUUCAUGUUUUCUAAGUGCAUUUCUAAAGCUGUACAUUUUCUUUUUAAUACUCCUUUCUGUAUACUAUAGGUUUUGCUAUAUAAUGUUCUCAGUAUUGUCUUUCAUUUCAGUUUUGAUUUUCUUUUAACCCAAAGCUAUUUGCAAGUGUUCUUUUUACCAUACAAGCAAAUCAUUAUUCUUUUUGGUUACUUGUUGGCAGUAUAUAUUCUUUUCCCCUCCCCUCACACUCAUUCCCGCACAGAGAACCAGUCCCCCACUUGAGGGCAGACUACUCCCAAGAUGGGCCUCACCCAGUGGGCUGAAGAUCAGCAUGCCCUCUCUAGCCUGUGGUCCCACACUCACUGCACCCUGCUCUGCCAUGUAAGGGUCAUUUUACACAUUUGUCUUUCUCACCAGCUGAGGCCUUUUGGUAAGGAAUUCGGAGAUCUGUUAAUACUACAUUUUGAAACAGUAUUUCUCAAAGGGAGGUCCAGAGACCUUGUGCAUCAGAAUCACCAGGUGGUACAAAUUAAAAGUAUAGCUCCCAGAGCCUCUUUAAGAUCUAUUAAGUCAGAAUCUCCAGGGGUGGAGGUCCAGGAAUCGCCUUUUUUCUUUUUUUUUUUGCAGGGAAGGAUUCACCCUGAGCUCACAUCUCUUGCCAAUCUUCCUCUCUUUUUUCUUCUCCCCAAAGCCCCAGUACAUCAUUGUAGAUUCUAGCUGUAAGCCCUUCUAGGUCUUCUGUGUGAGGGUCUGCCACAGCAUGGCAACUGACAGACAGGUGGUGCGGUCCCACAACUGGAACUGAACCGGGCUGCUGAAGCAGAGCAAGGAACUUUAACCACUAGGCCAUCAGGAAUGGCUCUGUGGUUUUUAUCUAAUGAACAGUAUUGACAGUUCUAUUAAAAUAGUAUUUCUGUUAAACACCGCUUUUCAACAUGUAGGGCUUUUUUAAUAUCAUUUGAGGAAAACAUUUAGUUUCAGUCCUUUUUAGGCACUCUUUUUAACUGCUUUUUCUAUGUGAGCCACCACCACAGCACAGCAACUGACAGACAAGUGAUGUGGUUCUGUGACAAGGAAACGAACCCAGCCACAGAAGUGGGGAGAGCACCGAACUUUAACCACUAGACCAUCGGGGCUGGCUUGUGGGAAUCUCCAUUUUAACAAGCACCCCAGGGGCUGGCCUGGCAGCAUCGUGGUUAAGUUUAUGCAGUCUGCUUCGCUGGCCCAGGGUUCGCAGGUUUGGAUCCCAGGUAUGAACCCACACACCACUUAUUAAGCCAUGCUGCAGCAGCAUCCCAUAUACACAGUAGAAGAUUGGCAUGGAUAUUAGCUCAGGGAGCAUCUUUCUCAAGCAAAAAGAGGAAGAUUGGCAACAAAUGUUAGCUCAGGGCCAAUCUCCCUCACAAAAGAAAGAAAGAAACAAGCACCCCAGGUGAGUCUAUUCCAGCAUAGAGAAGUUUGACGACUAUUGCUCUACAUGAUACUCUGAUAAGCUUCACUUAGUUCAGAGCAAGGCAACUUCGUAGGAAGGUUUUAAGAACCAUGUCACAUAAAGAAUAUUGAAGAAACUUAGGCUGUGUAAAGCUAGAAAAAAGACUUGGUGGGGAGAACACAAGAGAUGCCACUCAUAUGAAAGAUACUUUAAAUUUACUCCAUGUAGUUUUUAAAGGGUUAAGUCCAAAGGGUAAACAUUAGAGGGAGAAAGAUUUGGCUCUAAUAUAAGGAAUAGAUCUCUAACAAUUUGAACUCUUCAAAAAUGGAAUAGCUGGGGCCAGCCUGGUGGCACAGCAGUUAAAUUCGCACAUUCCAGCCCAGGGUUCACCGGUUCGGAUCCCGGGUGUGAACAUGGCACUGCUUGGCAGGCGAUGCUGUGGCAGGCAUCCCACAUAUAAAGUAGAGGAAGAUGGGCAUGGAUGUUAGCUCAGGGCCAGUCUUCCUCAGCGAAAAGAGGAGCAUUGGCAGCAGACGUUAGCUCAGGGCUAAUCUUCCUUUAAAUAAAUGAAACAGCCUUCUUGUGAAUUAGUGAGUUCCCUCCUAUUUGGACAUAUUCAAGCAGAUAAUGGAUGACUUUGUGCUAGAGAUGUUGAAGAGAGACUUUGACAUCAGGCAAGAUAAUUUCUACAUUCCCUUCCAACUCAUAGGAUUCUUAAGAUCCUCUAAUUUUAGGUUCAUGAGCUCAGUAAGAGUUAUGAUCGUUACAACAUUUCCAGAUGAUAUUGGACACCCAUUUCUUCAUAAUCAAUGAUUCAAAUACACUUUUUGAUUUAACACAAUGUAUACAAAAAUUGUUUUGAGUAAAUAAAAUCUCACACAACUAUAUUUUUCCAAAUUUCAGAGCUGUUUAAAGGUUUAGUUUCUUUCUGCACAUAUAUGUGAUGCCUAAUCCCAUUCUAAGAGCUAAAAACACAAAACCCUUACCAAAAUUAGACGUGCAAUGACCAAAUAAACUCAUCCACUGCUUACCUGAAGGUCAAGGAUAUGUGGCAAAGAAUACUAUUUAUAACAACCCAAUAUUACAAUCUGGUCUAUAAAAUAACCCAUCCUCACAAAGUUGAAAAAAUGAGUUUAAAAUAUGAAGCAGUGACAAGAUGUAUUAACUUGUGAAAAUGGUUCUUUAAUUUGUGCCUUUAAGUUGAUAGAAAAAAACUCAGUACUACAAUAGAUAAAUUAUAUAUCACUAUGUUUAUGUAGUAUUUGUGGCCAAGGUCCCUAAACAGAAAGUUAUCCAGGGGCCAGCCCCGUGGCAUAGUGGUUAAGUUCAGCAUUCUCUGCUUCAGCAGCCCAGGUUCACAGGUUCAGAUCCCACACGGAGACCUACACCACUUGUCAGGCAUGCUGUGGCAACAACCCACAUACAAAGUCGAGGCAGACUGGCACACAUUAGCUCAGGGCUAAUCUUCCUCAAGCGAAAAAAACAGGAAGAUGGACAACAGAUGUUAACUCAGGGCUAAUCUUCCUCAGCAGAAAAAAAAAAUUAUCCAGUGGUGCCACGGGGAUCAAUAAUAGCAUCAAGAAUUAUUAGAUUCAGGACUGGCCUGGUGGCAUAGUGGUUAAGUUUGCACACUCUGCUUCAGUGGCCCGGGGUUCACAGGUUUGGAUCCUGGGUGCAGACCUACACACUGCUCAUCAAGUCAAGCUGUGGUGGCAUCCCGCAUACAAAAUAGAAGAGGAUUGGCAACAGAUAUUAGUUCAGGGCCAAUCUUCCUCACCAAAAAAAAAAAAGAGAGAGAGAGAGGAAUUAUUAGAUUCAGAUUUCAUAUUUUAGUUGAAAAAAGAUAACAUUUGUUUUCAAAUUAAACUCUUAAAAUAAAGAAUAUUAUUCAACAUAUACCAGAGUUGAGGGAAAUUUUUGGAAAAAGGAGACAAAAACGUAUUGAGGAAGUCAACUUACUUUCCAGAGAACUCCACUAAUAUUAGAACCAAACAUUUUUAUUAGAUACUAACUUACUUGCUUUUUUGUACCUUAUGUCAUCUUCUCUAGUUUGUGUUGUUACAGUCCUGCAUAUGUUAAAUAAAAAAACAAACCAAUUAUAUAUUUUGCAUGAUCAAUACGUUACAACAUUAAGAUCAGACUAAUAAUACAAACGCACUCCACUUUUUUUUUAAACUCCCUGCAAUCGUACAGCAAGUCCUCAAGAACAUAAAAACGUGAACAAAAAGGCUUUAUAUUUAUCUUACAGAAGGUAUAAACAUCAGUUAUAAAGAGAUGCAAGCCUUAUUUAGUUAAAUAUAAUUAACAUGAUUACAAAAGCAUCUCUAAUAAAGCAGACAAAAUAAUUACAUUGUUCAUAGUUCUACUCAGAGUUCACUGAACUGUUAAAAACAACUUCAAAAACAAUCAAAUGCAAAGGCAAAUCCCUACUACACAAAUAAAAUAAAUGCAAAGAAUGGUUAACCUUUGGAUAUUGACCAAGCAUUCGUUUUUCCCCAGUCUAAACAACCUUGUCUUAAUUCCUAUGGCAUACAGGACGGAUUAGAAAAGAAGAGGCUAAAAAUUAGCUGUUGCAGAGUUCCAGGAGUGUGGCAUAUGGGUGAUGCAGUAACAGUGGAAUUGAAGGGGGAAAGGCAGUCUUCCCCCCAAAACCUGCUCUUCCUGCAGUCUUCUUCAUCUCAGUCAAUGGCAGCUUCACCGGCUAAUUGUUCAGGCUAAAAACCUGGUACCUUGCUGGCACUCCUGUUGCACAUAUCCUUCAUCCAAAUCACCAGCUAAUACUAUCACAGUCUCCAGAAUCCAACCAUCCCCUCACCAUCUCCACCUCCCUGGCUAAGAUCUCCCAUCUCUCACCUGGAUUAUUGUAAAUGCUACUAACCAGUCUCCCUUUUUGCCUUUGCCCUCUGGAGUUUAUUCUCAACCCAGGAGCCAAAUUGAUCCUCUCCUCAAAGCUCUCUAGUGACUUCCUGCUUCAAUUCAAAAUAAAAGUCAACGCCCUCAUAAUAGUGUCCUGCAGAAACUGCUCCCCAUUAUCUCUUUCCCCCUCACUGCCUCAGCUCCAGCUGCACUGGCCACUUUGCUCUUUUAUGAACAGACCACUCCCACCUCCAGGGUUUUGCAAUUGCUCUUUCUUUUACCUGGAAGUUUCUUUAUUUAGAUACCACAUGGCUUGUUCCUUUCACCUCCUUCAGGUUUCUGCUUAACGUGCACUUCUCCACAAAUAAUUCCUGGACCACUCUAGUUAUAACUGCAAACCUUACACAUCCCAAUACUCCUCCAUCUCCCUUCUUGAAACCUGUUUUGUUUUUCUCUAUAGAAUUUAUCACUACCUAAUUCCCAUAAAUUUUACUUAUUUUGUUUGUCUGAUUGUCCUCACUAGAUGGUAAACUCAAUGAGAUUAGGGAUUUUGUCUGUUUUGUUCAAUGCUAUUUUUCCAUAGCUAGCACACAGCAGGUGUUUCAUAAACACUUGUUGAAAGAACGAAUAUCCACCAUUAAUCCUCUAGCGACCAGUGUUGAGAACUAGAUGCCUUACACCAUUUGGGGUGCUUCAUACCAGUGCUAAAGCAGAUGCAUACAUAGUUAGAUUUAUAUUAAUAUACUACUCGCAGAAAUUGAACAAGACAUGUACAGUAUGCAGAUAUAAAGCAAAGAGAAUAAUUUCCAUGUGCAAAAUAUAAAACUCCUAGAUUUCUGAACUGAGGUUUUCAAAGUCCAUUUCCUUCAUUUGAAAGACAGAAGUCUAGUGAGCUUAAAUCAUUUCUGAAGCUCAUCCAGACAUUAGCAGUAAAAUAUACUACAAGUCAGAUUACCUGGCUCUCAAUUCAGUGUUCUUUUCAUUCUAUCAUGGUACUCUUUAAACUUGAGCAUUCCUCUGACCAGGAACUGAAUCAUUCUAUAGCCUCUGAGUUGAAAUCACUACAUCACCAGGAAAUAAAUGUCUAACUCCCAAUAUUAUUCCUCAAUUAAGUCAUAGUGAGUAGAUGUUGCUGUAUUCUUUCAAUGAUAACUAGAAAUUAAAGGGAAAGAAACCAAUUUCACUAUUAAUUGUAAAUUUUGUGCCAUGAACAAAGGAAGCUGUCAUUUGCAUUACAGUAUUCUGGGUAUAAGCAUGGAUUCUGGUAUUCACACCUCCAGGUUCAAAUCCCAGUUUUGUCACUUAUUAGUGGAAAUCUUCUUAAUCUCUCUAAGCUCUGAUUUUCUCAUUUUUAAAAAGAGGGUAUCGGCCCUACUUAUGUCUUUGAGUUGUGAGAAUAAUGCACAGAAAGCACUGAGCACAUGGCCUAACACAUACAUAUUCAUAUUGACAGAUGGACUGUCAAUUGCAAUCAGACAUGAAUAGAAGUUAUAAUCAGAUACACCCCCUUCAAAUUUUAGAUGUUACUUUAUAUUUAUUAAACUAAUCUCCCAAAUUAGAAUGCUUGUUGAUUUGAACCUUAUAGCAAUUAAUUUUACCUAGUUCCUUAAGAAGUGAAAAAAUUAUAAAGCAUUUUAUAACUCAUGCAACAACUCAUAUCCAUUUAGCAAUUCAUAUUCAUGCAACAAUUCAAUAACAUUUAAAGCCAAAAACAGAUUAAACUCAACAUUAAAGAAUUUUGUAAUCUAUUUUUGCCAAAACAAUGCAUUUUCCCUCAUUCAUGUAGCCAUUACUCAGUGGGCCAGCACCCUGUUACAAAGAGCCUAUUAGUUAUCGGUACCUUCUUGGUGGUCCAAGGGCGCCCUCUGCCUGAACACUGAAAAACUCAAAGCUAAAUUAAAUACUUUUUAAAAACUGAUGCUUUCUCAAGUGAAUUCUUAAUCAGUAAUUCUAUGAAAUUAAUCCUCUCUUUAAUCACUGCUACAGAUAGUCAGAAAAAAACAAAUGUUAGUCAGAAAAAAACAAAUGUCGUGUCAUCUGUUACAAGAGCACCAGAAAGGUCAAGUUUACAUCCCUGUAAUUUACCUGGGAGUUUGGAAAGAAAAUCCAUGAUAUUUUCCCCAGAAUUUAUUCCAUAUCAUUCAAUAAAUUAUUGGCGUGAAUCACCUAAAUCAGUAUAUUGAUCUCUUUGUUUUGUCCACGUAAAACUCUACACUUUACUUAAUAUGCCAUUGUAGCACUUUGCCCAGUAAUGAGUAUCACCAACAUCAAAUAUUUAUUGGGUAUCUUCUGUGUACAGGACACUGCAGUAGGUCAAAAGGAUGGAAAAAACCCAUUCUCUAUCCUCAAAGAAAUGAUUGUCUACUUUCUAAAAAAGGAUGCGCACAAAGAAAUCUAUGGUAAGAUGCCCACUGAAAAAGAUAGGCUUCUCCCAUUUGCUGCUUUCUGCGUCACCUUAGGAAAAUUAGCUGACUUAUCUAAACCUCAGUUUAUCUGUAAUACGGAGAUGAUACUCACCUCAAAACAAAGUUGCAAAAGUUAACUGAGAUCUUUGCAAAGGGCUCAGCACAUGUAAAAUAUCAGUAAAAGGUGGUUGCUUAUAUUUAUUAGUAUUACUAAGAGAAAUCUUGAGUAACAACAUCCUACAUUAAAUUUCAUUGGCUUCAAAUAGAAAGAUGUGUAAACAAAAUAUUUUGUAUCUUAUUUUUUCAACAUUAAAUGUUCUCUCCAGUGAAGAAAAACGUGUGACCCUGACCAAAUGCUUGAUCAAGUCAAUAUUGAGCCAUUUGUACAGGAAUUAUUUCAUUAUAAAAAAUAUAAUUAAGACUACUUUACCACUAAUGAAAUUUAAGGAUUUAUAAGAACACACAUUUUUCUGGUACUUACUUCAGGUAGCUUGCCUGUUCUCUUGAAACAUCUAAAAUGUUAAAAAUAAUUCUAUCACAUUUUAUAGUCAUCUACAUUUCUAACACAAAGAACAGCCCAAGAACAAAAUCAUGAUCACCAAACGGAUCUUAGCAAUAUACAUAUAUAAUUUCAGAAAUAAGAACUUAUACAUCUCCUUAACACUACAAAGCACUUUUAAAUUCAUUUUGUGAAUUUUAACAAUUUCUCAGGGAAGCAAGCACAUGACAAAUAUUUUUUAUAUUCAAUUUGUGGGUGGGGAAACUUAUAAAUAGUAAAACUAAGCACAGUACAAAAUAUUUGCUAAGAAAGAGUAAUUAAAGCUAGCCUAAAGACUACAUGUAUUAUCUCCCCUAAUUCUCACACCAAACUAAGGUGGGGGUCAUUUUCUCCACUUAGAAAUGAGGAAACUAAGGCACAGAGCAGUUACGUAGCUUGACAAAGUCCCGCAACUGGCACACAGAAUAAUCAAAUCCAGGUCGUCUGAUUCCAGAGUCUGCGCUCUCAACCUCUAUAUAUACUUCCUACGGCUUAAGAUAAUAAUUUUCUUAAAUAUCCAUAAGUCUAUGUGACAUAAAUGGGGGGAAAGGAUAGCUCUUUUUUACCGAAGAAUUCCAAAUAAUAACUAUAGAACAAAUGAGGAAAAUACUUAGCAUCAGGUAAACACCAAUUGUUUCAGGCAAGAACCAUCAAUGCCUUCUGGCUAAAAUUAGCAGGUGAAAUUACGAUGAGAAAUAGGAUAUUUGUAACACAUCAAGGCAUCUCUCCAUAUAAUAUUUAUUAAUUACAAGGAGAAAAAUAGUAACUCUACAGUGGAGAAAGCAGCAGACACCACCUAAACCAAGUGACCAAAGUUAACAUCACCACCAGAAAGGCAGAAUCAUUGAAAUUACUGAGUGCAGACAGAACCCUUCAUGCAAAUAAUUUUACUUUCCUGAGGAAGAUUAAGCCUGAGCUGACAUCUGUUGCCAAUUUGCUUAUUUUGCUUGAGGAAGAUUAGCCUUGAGCUAACAUCCAUGCCAAUCCUCCUGUGUUUUGUAUGUGGGUCACCACCACAGCAUGGCUGAUGAGUUGUGUAGGUCCAUAACUGGGAUCCGGGCCACCAAAGCAGAGCACGCUGAACUUAACCACUAGGCCACAGGCCAGCCCUGCAAAUAAUUUUUACUUAGUGAUGUAAAACUUUUCAGUAGUUUUGCUACCACAAAGUUCAGUACUAAACCACCAACUGUGAUAAAAAUCUAACAAAUUCUGAGUUUGGUAGGCAAUAAACAUCUGAAAUCACUUGAAGCAUAUUUGUCCUAAGUUUUGUCUUUGUGAAAAUUGUAUGCUUUACAAAUUAUGGUGGAGCAGGCCAAAUCUUCCCAUUAAUAUUUCCAUUAUUGUAUAGUAAUGCAAGAUAAAGUUAUUAUGGAAAUUAUAUUUGGAAGCUAUAGUUUACAAAUACUGAAAUUGAUUCUAUUUUUAAAUUUUCUUAUCAAAGGGGAUUAAAUACAUCAUAAGUAAGCAAUAAGCUAAAAGAUCUGUCUACCUUUUGAUUUCAAAUAAUCAAAGCUGACAUUUAUUGAACAUUUACUAUGUGCCAUUUUUUCUGCAUUUCAUUUAAUUCUCACAAUUUCAUAAGGCAGAUUAUAUUAUCACCAUUUAUCAGAUGAGGAAAUGGUUAGAGAGGCUAAGAACAUUGCACAAGGACUGACUGUCUGAUGCUAGCAAUACUGUCAUUCUUUCUCCAAAUAUUUUUUCAAUUGCUAACCAGUGGAAAAUCUAAUUAAUUUGAGUUUCACUGAAUUUCAUCUUUACUUUCCUCCCAUCCAGGGCUUGUUGGGGAAAUCUUAACACAUAGCAACAAGAAGAACGGUAGACAAUUAGUAAUCUAAGAUAACUAAGAGUUGGCCAUAUUGUUAUUAUAAUUAUACAGAAGCUUAUUUACAUAUUCUUUGUUUUAUAUCAAGUUUUGAGUUCUUAUAGAGGAAAAACAGGAUUUUGAUUAAAUAUAAAAUGGGUAGUUAAAUCACUAAAUAGGACACACUUUGUAGGAAGCUAAAGCACAUGUAAUUAUUCAGGUAAUCAUUACUGAUUAUUCCCUUGACAUACAUAUUUACAAGUCUAAACAAAAUGUACAACUGUAAAUACUGUAUUUUUUUAACAUCUUGUUUUCUAUCCUCAAAGCAGAUUUCUUAGACCCAGCGAAAAUAAAUUUUUCAAGUGCCUGCAUUAGAAAAUUUUACAACUGAUGUAAUCAUUCACAUUUGAAGAAUGUCAUGAUUUAUUUUUUAAAUUUGAAGUCUUAAUUAUUGAAAAUAUUUCUUGUUAAUAUAGUUUAUUUGCACGUUAAGUAAAAUAACAUAAGUAGGGCACUUCAUAUUGCCUUCUGAAUUUGCUGUGUCUUGCCUAUAACAAAACAAGUCACUCUGGGUUUAUCCCAGAUGAGUCACAAAGCAAGAGUUUGGACUUCAUCAUUAGUUUCAGUUCUAUUUUUAGAGGUAUGGGGAUAGAAAGAAGUUCUUAAUCUGGAGAUAUUUAAAAUGGCCUUUGUAGUUUUCUUCAGAAAGGAAAAAGGCUGUCAAACUUCCAGACCAUCACAGCCUACUUUAAAUAUAUAACUAUUUUGUACAAAAUGUUUACAUUCCACAUCUUAUCAAUGUAUAAAAUAACACUGCCACUGACAUCAAUGGAAUUUCAUGGCAACGGAACGAGUUAGUAAGCCUUAUCAAAAUAGGCAUUUUCGCCCUCCUUUAAAAUUUAUAAUUGUCCAAGUAUAAAUAAUCAAAAGGAUGUAGUUUCUUUCCACAUACUACUUACAGAUUGACUACUGUCUAAAAAAGCACAAAGUUCACGGACAAAUUUUUCUCUCCUUGUUCUUUCUAAAACAGACAUAAAAUGGAACACAAUCUUAGACUAAAGUCCAAAUUAUAGGUAAGAAAACAAAAACGAAGUGACACAGGAGGGUGGAGGUGAAUUUUCAAAUAUUGAUUAACUUACAAGAUUCAUAAGUGUUUCAUUUCUCAUUAAGCAUUGGUUUGCUGUUUUCUGUAACAUAUGAACAUUUCAAAUUGAUUAAGAAUAGAAUUUUCAUAUAACAUUAGAUUUUUCUCAUUUGUAUCCAAAGAUUCUCAUUUUCAUUCUACUCUAACUUUUCUUUGAAAACAUAUCUCAAAAAUAGAAAAAAUGCCCAAUGCGAAGUUUUAGUUACUUGGUAGAAAAACUGAAAAGGAGAGAAAAUAAUUUUCGCAAUUUCAGAUGAAAAAAUCUAUAUAUCAAGUGGGUUUUGAUCGCUUAAAGAAUUUGAAAAUACACUGUAUAUAACAUUUUAUAAAGUAGUCUUAACAGCCAGAUUAAUGUUAGCGUGCUCUGGGUCUAGUUUUAACUGUAUACUUCUUACAACAUAAUGAAAGAACGACUGAUUUGGUAAUGAACUGUUGAUUAAACUGACCCCAUCAAACACUACUCAUUAUUUUGGUGGAAAUAUUUACAAGCAAUUACAGUCACUGAUUUCUCGCAGUUGUUUCUUGUUAUCUUACUGACUUUACAACUCCCCAACGUAAAGGUGCAGAAAACUGUUUACCCUCCUUUU
RNAcentral lists this long non-coding RNA (15979 nucleotides) under Equus asinus (donkey). RNAcentral describes it as "lncRNA (ENSEASG00005034714.1)". Lineage: Eukaryota; Metazoa; Chordata; Mammalia; Perissodactyla; Equidae. The record is from RNAcentral.